AAUUUACUGUGCAGCGGUUGCUCUUUGAUCUCUGAUCUUUAAGAUCGAGGAUAAUAUCUCCUGAUCUCAAAAUGGUGUGUUCAGGAUGAACCCAACAAAGAGCUGGAGUGACUCAGGUCCUGCAGCAUUCCAUUUGCAAACAGCAAAGCAUCAGUGCAUCGAACAGAAACCUCACAAUCCCCUUUGGACAACUAAUGCUCCCUCAACCUGUCUUCAUAGGAGAAGUGCUCCAGCCCUUUGAUCAUCUUCAUGGCCCUCUUCUGGACAGCACUCAAUAGAUGUUAAACAC
This 289-nucleotide long non-coding RNA is filed under the name Gallus gallus (chicken). RNAcentral describes it as "lncRNA (ENSGALG00010021872.1)". The record is from RNAcentral. Lineage: Eukaryota; Metazoa; Chordata; Aves; Galliformes; Phasianidae.